UAAUUAAAGAAUGCUUUUUCUUCGAUUGUAUUCAAGAUGCAGAAUUUUUUCAAUGGCUUAAUAAACUGUUGCUUUAAGGGGUUGUGUCUAUUUGUUGAAAUAUUUUCGUAAGAACUCAAUAAAAUGUUUCAUCUACUACCAGUAUGGGAAGUAAAUUCAUUACUCAAACUAUAAUGGCUGGUGACCUAGCAACAAUGAUUUAUCUACGAUCAUUCACUUCCAUGUUUUACUUCGUUUUUACUACGGCAUUCCACCAUAGAGAUAUAGACAGUCAUAAACUGCGUAGGAUUUGAAAUUGAAACCAUUUACUAUUCAAAGUCAAUAAAGG
This is a long non-coding RNA of Harmonia axyridis, 328 nucleotides long. RefSeq lists it as uncharacterized. The transcript is spliced from 3 exons. NCBI's taxonomy places the organism in Eukaryota, Metazoa, Arthropoda, Insecta, Coleoptera, Coccinellidae. The record is from RefSeq and is a predicted model, not a curated record.